This 254-nucleotide ribosomal RNA is filed under the name uncultured bacterium. RNAcentral's name for it is "partial 16S ribosomal RNA". It matches the Rfam family "Bacterial small subunit ribosomal RNA", at positions 524 to 776 of the family's 1533-position model. The record is from RNAcentral.
UACAGAGGGGGCAAGCGUUGUUCGGAAUUACUGGGCGUAAAGGGCGCGUAGGCGGCCUUCUAAGUCGAACGUGAAAUCCCCGGGCUCAACCCGGGAACUGCGUCCGAUACUGGAAGGCUUGAAUCCGGGAGAGGGAUGCGGAAUUCCAGGUGUAGCGGUGAAAUGCGUAGAUAUCUGGAGGAACACCGGUGGCGAAGGCGGCAUCCUGGACCGGUAUUGACGCUGAGUGAGCGAAAGCGUGGGGAGCAAACAGG